CGCGGUAAUACGGAAGGUCCGGGCGUUAUCCGGAUUUAUUGGGUUUAAAGGGAGCGUAGGCCGCAUGUCAAGCGUGUUGUGAAAUGCAGGUGCUCAACACCUGGAUUGCAGCGCGAACUGUCGUGCUUGAGUGUGCGCAACGUUGGCGGAAUUCGUCGUGUAGCGGUGAAAUGCUUAGAUAUGACGAGGAACCCCGAUUGCGAAGGCAGCUGACGGGAGCAUAACUGACGCUGAAGCUCGAAGGUGCGGGUAUCGAACAGGAUUAGAUACCCUGGUAGUCCGCACGGUAAACGAUGGAUGCCCGCCGUCCGCCCUUUUAUUGGGCGUGUGGCCAAGCGAAAGCAUUAAGCAUCCCACCUGGGGAGUACGCCGGCAACGGUGAAACUCAAAGGAAUUGACGGGGGCCCGCACAAGCGGAGGAACAUGUGGUUUAAUUCGAUGAUACGCGAGGAACCUUACCCGGGCUUGAA
This 470-nucleotide ribosomal RNA is filed under the name uncultured bacterium. RNAcentral's name for it is "bacterial SSU rRNA". It matches the Rfam family "Bacterial small subunit ribosomal RNA", at positions 516 to 985 of the family's 1533-position model. The record is from RNAcentral.